GAUAUCAACUGAAAAAGUCAUCAACAACAAAAUUGAAUAAUCAUCAAUAUCUAAAACUUUUAUUUUGGUCAUUUCUUCAUACGACAAAGUGAUAGUAACAUUGUUCACAAAAUUGACAUAUCUCUUAUCUGGUUUUAUAAACUAUAACACAUAUAUGUAAAAUUUGUGAAUAAUAUUACUAACAUUUCGUCAGAUGAAGAAAUAACAAAAAUAAAAGUUUUAGAUCUUGAUGAGUUAUUCAACUUUGUUGUUGAUGACUUUUUCAAUUGAAAUC
MicroRNA precursor from Oryza rufipogon (brownbeard rice), 274 nucleotides. It matches the Rfam family "MIR821 microRNA precursor family". The record is from Rfam. Lineage: Eukaryota; Viridiplantae; Streptophyta; Magnoliopsida; Poales; Poaceae.